Molecule: ribosomal RNA, 664 nt
Filed under: Acinetobacter sp. UAPS0168
Lineage: Bacteria; Pseudomonadati; Pseudomonadota; Gammaproteobacteria; Moraxellales; Moraxellaceae
Description: bacterial SSU rRNA
Rfam family: Bacterial small subunit ribosomal RNA
Source: RNAcentral
UCUUAGCGGCGGACGGGUGAGUAAUGCUYABGAAUCUGCCUAUUAGUGGGGGACAACAUUUCGAAAGGAAUGCUAAUACCGCAUACGUCCUACGGGAGAAAGCAGGGGAUCUUCGGACCUUGCGCUAAUAGAUGAGCCUAAGUYGGAUUAGCUAGUUGGUGGGGUAAAGGCCUACCAAGGCGACGAUCUGUAGCGGGUCUGAGAGGAUGAUCCGCCACACUGGGACUGAGACACGGCCCAGACUCCUACGGGAGGCAGCAGUGGGGAAUAUUGGACAAUGGGCGCAAGCCUGAUCCAGCCAUGCCGCGUGUGUGAAGAAGGCCUUAUGGUUGUAAAGCACUUUAAGCGAGGAGGAGGCUACUUUAGUUAAUACCUAGAGAUAGUGGACGUUACUCGCAGAAUAAGCACCGGCUAACUCUGUGCCAGCAGCCGCGGUAAUACAGAGGGUGCAAGCGUUAAUCGGAUUUACUGGGCGUAAAGCGCGCGUAGGCGGCUAAUUAAGUCAAAUGUGAAAUCCCCGAGCUUAACUUGGGAAUUGCAUUCGAUACUGGUUAGCUAGAGUGUGGGAGAGGAUGGUAGAAUUCCAGGUGUAGCGGUGAAAUGCGUAGAGAUCUGGAGGAAUACCGAUGGCGAAGGCAGCCAUCUGGCCUAACACUGACGCUGA